UGUUUCUUGAUGAAUGUUAAUGUCUUUUGGUCUAUAAAUUGGUUUGUUUGUUGGUGUGCAGGCUUGGAUCCCUGAGACUCCUGAAAGGCAAAUUGUUCAAGAAGCAAAGCAUGGAAGCCAGCAGGAGCUGGGCGAAGGGGAGGCUGAGAUGAGUUUCUAUAUAAGAUUCCACAGGAGCAAAAAGGAGACAGUAAUCGAUGACUCCUGGAUUGGACGUUCUCUCUUUCAAGUUCCUCCUCUUCUUCUCCCCAUAUUGUACCACCCACUCUUCAUUGUCUCUAGUUUGGCAGAUCUACGUGGGCAGUUUUGUCCUUCCUGCUCUAUUUUCGGUUCAAAACACUCCUUGAAGAGAUUGGUCAAGUUGAUAAAAGCAAUCAAAGAAUCUUCAAUUUUCGUGAGCCACAAAAUGGAAAAAGGGGGGAUCUUUUUUUUCACUUAUCAGCAGUCAGGCUAUGGAGCUUGAGGAAAAGCACAAAAGAUCUGAGGAUAAAGAAAGGUGGUGAGUACUUGUUUAAAAUACUCUUCUUUAUGGAAUAACAUAAUCAGUUAGGUAUAGAAAUCUAACUUGCCCCAUAAGGCAGUAGGAGGGAAAAGGGGAAAGAAAAGGGAAGGGAGAUAGAAGGGAGGGAAGAAGUAGUAAGGGUAAAGGGGAAGGAAAGGGAGUAGGCUAAUAGAAGGGAGGUGGGACUGAGGGAGGUGGUGGUCAAAAGCAAAACACUAAUGAGGAGGGGAAAGGAGAAAGAAAAGCAUAAAUGGGGGUAAGGAGUAAAGGAUGGAGAGAAAGACACAGACAGCAACCAUAACCGUGAAUGUAAUGGAAUAUCAUUGUGCUAUAAAAAAUGAUGAACAGGAAGACUUCAGAAAAACCUGAAAGACAUGUAUGGUCUGAUGCUGAGUGAAGUGAGAAGAAGCAGAAGAACGUUGUACACAGUAACAGCCACGUUGGGCGAUGACUAAUAUUGAUAGACUUAACCCUUCUCAAAAGCAAUACAAGGAUCUAAGACAUCUCCAAAGGCCUCAGGAUGGAAAGUGCUAUUCAUAUCCAAAGAAAUAACAAUGGAGUUUGAAUGCAGAUUGAAGCAUACUAUUUGCUAUUUUUUUUUCUUCUGUUGUGUUUUGUUUCUUCUUUCUGGUGGUUCCUCCUAUUGGUUCUAAUUCUUCCUUACAACAUCACUAAUGUGAAAAUAUGUUUAGUAGGAAAGUAUAUGUAUAGCCUAUAUCAUAUUGCAC
Molecule: long non-coding RNA, 1230 nt
Filed under: Phascolarctos cinereus (koala)
Lineage: Eukaryota; Metazoa; Chordata; Mammalia; Diprotodontia; Phascolarctidae
Description: lncRNA (ENSPCIG00000024545.2)
Source: RNAcentral